Molecule: ribosomal RNA, 253 nt
Filed under: uncultured bacterium
Lineage: Bacteria
Description: partial 16S ribosomal RNA
Rfam family: Bacterial small subunit ribosomal RNA
Source: RNAcentral
UACAGAGGUCCCAAGCGUUGUUCGGAUUCACUGGGCUUAAAGGGUGCGUAGGUGGUCAGGUAAGUCUGAUGUGAAAUCUCUGAGCUUAACUCAGAAACUGCAUUGGAUACUAUCUGGCUAGAGAGUCGGAGGGGGGACUGGAAUACUUGGUGUAGCAGUGAAAUGCGUAGAUAUCAAGUGGAACACCAGUGGCGAAGGCGAGUCCCUGGACGACUUCUGACACUGAGGCACGAAAGCUAGGGGAGCAAACAGG